This 30-nucleotide non-coding RNA is filed under the name Mus musculus (house mouse). The record is from RNAcentral. Lineage: Eukaryota; Metazoa; Chordata; Mammalia; Rodentia; Muridae.
UGCACUGUAGGAUGCAAUGGGAUUUGGAAU